Molecule: transfer RNA, 73 nt
Filed under: Canis lupus dingo (dingo)
Lineage: Eukaryota; Metazoa; Chordata; Mammalia; Carnivora; Canidae
Rfam family: tRNA
About the family: Transfer RNA (tRNA) molecules are approximately 80 nucleotides in length. Their secondary structure includes four short double-helical elements and three loops (D, anti-codon, and T loops).
Source: Rfam by way of RNAcentral
GCCUGGCUGACUCAGUGAGUAGAGUAUGUGACUCUCAAUCCCAGGGUCAUGAGUUUGAGCCCCAUGGCAGGCA